UACGUAGGGUGCAAGCGUUAAUCGGAAUUACUGGGCGUAAAGCGUGCGCAGGCGGCUUUGCAAGCCAGAUGUGAAAUCCCCGGGCUCAACCUGGGAACUGCAUUUGUGACUGCAAGGCUAGAGUACGGUAGAGGGGGAUGGAAUUCCGCGUGUAGCAGUGAAAUGCGUAGAUAUGCGGAGGAACACCGAUGGCGAAGGCAAUCCCCUGGACCUGUACUGACGCUCAUGCACGAAAGCGUGGGGAGCAAACAGG
RNAcentral lists this ribosomal RNA (253 nucleotides) under uncultured bacterium. RNAcentral describes it as "partial 16S ribosomal RNA". It matches the Rfam family "Bacterial small subunit ribosomal RNA", at positions 524 to 776 of the family's 1533-position model. The record is from RNAcentral.